CUAAACGACUCUCGGCAACGGAUAUCUCGGCUCUCGCAACGAUGAAGAACGUAGCGAAAUGCGAUACUUGGUGUGAAUUGCAGAAUCCCGUGAACCAUCGAGUUUUUGAACGCAAGUUGCGCCCAAAGCCUCUUGGCCGAGGGCACGCCUGCCUGGGCGUCACGCAU
This 167-nucleotide ribosomal RNA is filed under the name Melasma scabrum. RNAcentral's name for it is "5.8S ribosomal RNA". It matches the Rfam family "5.8S ribosomal RNA". Rfam says of the family: 5.8S ribosomal RNA (5.8S rRNA) is a component of the large subunit of the eukaryotic ribosome. It is transcribed by RNA polymerase I as part of the 45S precursor that also contains 18S and 28S rRNA. Functionally, it is thought that 5.8S rRNA may be involved in ribosome translocation. Lineage: Eukaryota; Viridiplantae; Streptophyta; Magnoliopsida; Lamiales; Orobanchaceae. The record is from RNAcentral.